CAAUCGGCCCUUUUCAGGGCCAACAAAUGUAUACUAAAUAGCUAAUU
Aedes aegypti (yellow fever mosquito) is the source of this 47-nucleotide non-coding RNA. The record is from Rfam. NCBI's taxonomy places the organism in Eukaryota, Metazoa, Arthropoda, Insecta, Diptera, Culicidae.